CCUACGGGAGGCAGCAGUGGGGAAUAUUGGGCAUGGAGGCAACUUUGACCCCGCCAUGUCGCGGGAGGGAUGAAGGGAAUUUUAUUGUAAAGCUUUUUUCUUUGGAACGAAUUAAAGACGGUUACAAAGGAAUAAGCCCCGGCUAACUACGGUCCAGCAGCCGCGGUAAUACGUAGGGGGCAAUGGUUGUUCGGAAUGACUGGGCGUAAAGGGUGGGUAGGUGGUUUGAUAAGUUAGAUGUGUAAUACCCAGGGCUUAACUCGGGUGCUGCAUCUAAAACUGUUAGACUUGAGUACUGGAGAGGAUAGUGGAAUUCCUAGUGUAGCGGUGGAAUGCGUAGAUAUUAGGAGGAACAUCAGUGGCGAAGGCGACUAUCUGGACAGCAACUGACACUGAGGCACGAAAGCGUGGGGAGCAAACAGGAUUAGAUACCCCAGUAGUC
This 442-nucleotide ribosomal RNA is filed under the name uncultured bacterium. RNAcentral describes it as "partial 16S ribosomal RNA". It matches the Rfam family "Bacterial small subunit ribosomal RNA", at positions 338 to 795 of the family's 1533-position model. The record is from RNAcentral.